UAAGUAACAUAAUGGGACGAUACGAGGC
RNAcentral lists this non-coding RNA (28 nucleotides) under Bombyx mori (domestic silkworm). The record is from RNAcentral. Lineage: Eukaryota; Metazoa; Arthropoda; Insecta; Lepidoptera; Bombycidae.